RNAcentral lists this ribosomal RNA (497 nucleotides) under uncultured bacterium. RNAcentral's name for it is "partial 16S ribosomal RNA". It matches the Rfam family "Bacterial small subunit ribosomal RNA", at positions 28 to 507 of the family's 1533-position model. The record is from RNAcentral.
GAUGAACGCUGGCGGCGUGCCUAAUACAUGCAAGUCGAGCGAACAGACGAGGAGCUUGCUCCUCUGACGUUAGCGGCGGACGGGUGAGUAACACGUGGAUAACCUACCUAUAAGACUGGGAUAACUUCGGGAAACCGGAGCUAAUACCGGAUAAUAUAUUGAACCGCAUGGUUCAAUAGUGAAAGACGGUUUUGCUGUCACUUAUAGAUGGAUCCGCGCCGCAUUAGCUAGUUGGUAAGGUAACGGCUUACCAAGGCAACGAUGCGUAGCCGACCUGAGAGGGUGAUCGGCCACACUGGAACUGAGACACGGUCCAGACGCCUACGGGAGGCAGCAGUAGGGAAUCGUCCGCAAUGGGCGAAAGCCUGACGGAGCAACGCCGCGUGAGUGAUGAAGGUCUUCGGAUCGUAAAACUCUGUUAUGAGGGAAGAACAAAUGUGUAAGUAACUAUGCACGUCUUGACGGUACCUAAUCAGAAAGCCACGGCUAACUACGUG